Long non-coding RNA from Lycium ferocissimum, 1096 nucleotides. RefSeq lists it as uncharacterized. NCBI's taxonomy places the organism in Eukaryota, Viridiplantae, Streptophyta, Magnoliopsida, Solanales, Solanaceae. The record is from RefSeq and is a predicted model, not a curated record. The transcript is spliced from 2 exons.
UAAACCAAUCGGCCUAAAAAUGGCAUGUUUGCAGUGUACUCUUACUUUAUGCAGCUGUAGUUCAACCGUUUUGGGCAAACAAUUAAUGCUUGCCUCUCUCUCUCUCUCUCUACCACGGUACAACCAAACAAGGUAGAAACCCCUCCUCUCUUCUACAUUUUCUGUAAAUCUAGGAUCAACCAAGGACAAAUAUUAUAAUGGGAUUUGUCUCAUUGCUAUUUUGAAUUGUUGACUCCUAUUGGCCUCCUGAGAUUAGGCGGGAUUCAAGAGGAAUCCCCGAAAAAUAUCUCAAUCCCACAUUGAUUUUCAACAACAAAAACUAGAGUUUUGGAGUUCUAUAUAAAAAAAAAAAAAAUCUACGCUUCUCAUUUGGAACAAGUCUCAUUCGAGCAAACACAUAUACACAAGCUGAUUUUUACAGCGAAAAACCUACGAAUUCCUGUUUGGUAAAGUGAUGGACAUAGAAUUGGACACUUCACUAUUCUUUUCAAAUUUUCGGGUUCAGUGUUAAAGUUUUUUUUUUUCUUUGUUCGUGGCUGCGUUUUGGUGCUGAGGAGCUCAAGGGAUCUCCAACUCCAACUCUCGACAAAGGGCUGCACUCAAAAAAGGCCAAGCCUAUUCCUUUUCCCUUUGCUGAUGCGCACUAAAACAUGUUGGGCCUAUUCAUCAUGUGCUUUUGUUGUUUAAAUCACAAUGGCCCAUAUUUGUUUCAAGUGAUAUGUAUAUGUCCUAUACGUAUAUUUGAAUAUGCAAUUGCACUUCAGUGGUAUAGUUAUAUGGAAUCUCGUGCUAAAUAAUUUGUAAGCAUAUAUGCCCUCUAACCUUGAUUUUCCUUUUCCCCCCGUGUGACACGGGCCAAUUGGGUCAAGAGACGCAUGACCAGCCAUUUCCAUUGGGCCUGAGGCCCAACACUGCAUUUAGAUCGAGUCAGGCCAGCCUAGAAGGCCCAACCAUGGGUGAAAAUGGUUUUAUAAUUGAACUGGUGGGCUUAGUAACCCCCCAGGCCGUUCUUUUUUCCUUAAAAUAAUUUUUGCAUGAUUGUAGAUUGUGUUGUAUACUCAUGUAAGAAAAUAUUGAAACCCCUUUAGUUGGAACU